GAGCCGCAUGCCGGCGCGGCCCGCCCCCGGGGGGCUCUUCCUCACGGGCUGCAGGCCUGGGCCGUGCCGGCUCCUCUCCUCCUCCGCCUCCACCUCCUCCACCUCUUUCUCCUCCGCCGGGAGGCUGGGACUUGUAGUGCAGCGAGAGGCGAACUACAGCUCCCACAAUGCCAGACAGUGCCGGAGCCACUUGUUGCAUGGAUGUCCUGGGUUGACCUUUGAUUAAGUUGCUUCUGAAACAUACUAGAGAGGCAGAGCAGCCUUGAAGUCUCUCUACAGCAGCAUUUUCACUCCUGUGAGCCACAUCAGGACCAUUCACAAGCGCCUCUGUCUCUCUCCAGCUGCAAUCCCACAAAGAGGGAUGAGAAUCGCAGCAACGACCAGCUCUGUUUGCAAACAGCUGCAAGUCCUUUUGUACAAGCCUGGUUUUGUCCCACGUCAAAGCUUCUCCAGGAGCCAACUCACCCUGUGUGCUUCAGUGCCAGGAGGUGUUUGAACCUGCUUUGAACAGACAUUCCACCUGUCAAACAGCAACCAGGAGGUGUUAACCCUGACAAGAAGCACGCUGAGGAACUGAGGAACUGAGGAACGGAGCAGCUCAGCCCUUGCAGGCUGUCAGGGCGACUGCGUGACUCCGGGUGCCGAAUUCUGCAUCUGAGGCUGAAAUUACACGCUAGGAAAAUUACAUGGUAGCUGAGAUAACAGCUUGCUGUUGACAAAAAGGGAAGAGCCUGCUCUUCACUGCCUUCAGUCACCAUCCACAUGCAGCCUGGCUGCAGUUUAUGCUGGUGCUGGCAUUGCCAUCACCCUGUGCUGAUUCACCUUGCCAUGAAGGCAAGAAAAGGCAGCUUCUUCUUGCCAGGAGGAGUCUGGAAGGAAACGUGUGCCCUGGUGAGAAGCGGCAGAUCCUCCCCAAAAUGAAAGGCUGCGAUUGGGAACGCGAGGGAAUGAGGUCAUGCUGUGGCGUUUGGUGUGAUAAACCUUCCUCACCCAGCACAGGGAUAACCAUGGCCCAGGAGGUUGGAAACAGCUGAUGCAGACUUGUGUGUGGGCAUUCCUCCUCAGUGAGCCUUGAUUGACCAGGGCAAUUCUAGGGGGCUGAAAAAGUGCCAGCUUGGUGCCUGUCUUCAGGAGAGGAGGCUGCAUGAUAUGGAGGAAAUGUAGAUUUAAUAACAUCAUAUCUGUGGAUAAUAUUCUGGAUAAACACCAAAAAUGGGUGUUGUGUCACUCACAUUAGUAAUGCCAGUCAGAGUCUAACAGAAAUCUCAUUUCAUGCUUCUAAAAGACAACAAAUAAUUCAAUUUCCUCCAAAAGGAAGGAAAGCUGAAAUAAACUUUUAAAAGGAUUUUUACUUAGAACUGCA
This 1363-nucleotide long non-coding RNA is filed under the name Zonotrichia albicollis (white-throated sparrow). RNAcentral's name for it is "lncRNA (ENSZALG00000012493.1)". Lineage: Eukaryota; Metazoa; Chordata; Aves; Passeriformes; Passerellidae. The record is from RNAcentral.